GAUGAACGCUGGCGGCGUGCUUAACACAUGCAAGUCGAACGGAAAGGCUCCUGCUUGCAGGGGUACUCGAGUGGCGAAAGGGUGAGUAACACGUGGGUGAUCUGCCCUGCACUUCGGGAUAAGCCUGGGAAACUGGGUCUAAUACCGGAUAGGAAGAUGGUUUGGAUGCCAUUGUGGAAAGUUUUUCGGUGUGGGAUGAGCUCGCGGCCUAUCAGCUUGUUGGUGGGGUAAUGGCCUACCAAGGCGUCGACGGGUAGCCGGCCUGAGAGGGUGUACGGCCACAUUGGGACUGAGAUACGGCCCGGACUCCUACGGGAGGCAGCAGUGGGGAAUAUUGCACAAUGGGCGCAAGCCUGAUGCAGCGACGCCGCGUGGGGGAUGACGGCCUUCGGGUUGUAACCUCCUUUCGCUAGGGACGAAGCGCAAGUGACGGUACCUGGAGAAGAAGCACCGGCUAACUACGUG
RNAcentral lists this ribosomal RNA (465 nucleotides) under uncultured bacterium. RNAcentral's name for it is "partial 16S ribosomal RNA". It matches the Rfam family "Bacterial small subunit ribosomal RNA", at positions 28 to 507 of the family's 1533-position model. The record is from RNAcentral.